UGGGGAAUAUUGGACAAUGGGCGCAAGCCUGAUCCAGCCAUGCCGCGUGGAUGAUGAAGGCCCUAGGGUUGUAAAGUCCUGUCGGCGGGGAAGAUAAUGACGGUACCCGCAGAAGAAGCCCCGGCUAACUUCGUGCCAGCAGCCGCGGUAAUACGAAGGGGGCUAGCGUUGCUCGGAAUCACUGGGCGUAAAGCGCACGUAGGCGGACUCUUAAGUCGGUGGUGAAAUCCUGGAGCUCAACUCCAGAACUGCCUUCGAUACUGAGAGUCUCGAGUCCGGGAGAGGUGAGUGGAACUGCGAGUGUAGAGGUGAAAUUCGUAGAUAUUCGCAAGAACACCAGUGGCGAAGGCGGCUCACUGGCCCGGUACUGACGCUGAGGUGCGAAAGCGUGGGGAGCAAACA
This 402-nucleotide ribosomal RNA is filed under the name uncultured Rhodoplanes sp. RNAcentral describes it as "bacterial SSU rRNA". It matches the Rfam family "Bacterial small subunit ribosomal RNA", at positions 355 to 774 of the family's 1533-position model. Lineage: Bacteria; Pseudomonadati; Pseudomonadota; Alphaproteobacteria; Hyphomicrobiales; Nitrobacteraceae. The record is from RNAcentral.